CAAUAGCGUAUAUUAAUGUUGUUGCAGUUAAAAAGCUCGUAGUUGGAUUUCUGGUGGGAGUGGCCGGUCCGCCGUAAGGUGUGUACUUGGUUGUCUCCCGUCAUCCUUGUGGGAACUGCUCUGGCAUUAAGUUGUCGGGGUUAGGGAACACAUCGUUUACUGUGAAAAAAUUAGAGUGUUUAAAGCAGGCUUAUGCCGUUGAAUACAUUAGCAUGGAAUAAUAGCAUCGGACCUCGACCUAAAAGCUGUUGGUUUCUUGGGUCGAGGUAAAGAUGAAUAGGGAUUGUUGGGGGCAUUCGUAUUUAACUGUCAGAGGUGAAAUUCUUGGAUUUGUUGAAGACGGACUACUGCGAAAGCAUCUGCCAAAGAUGCUCUCAUUGAUCAAGAACGAAAGUUAGGGGAUCGAAGACGAUCAGAUACCAU
RNAcentral lists this ribosomal RNA (423 nucleotides) under uncultured eukaryote. Its description in RNAcentral is "bacterial SSU rRNA". It matches the Rfam family "Eukaryotic small subunit ribosomal RNA", at positions 592 to 1018 of the family's 1831-position model. The record is from RNAcentral.